CAAGAGCAUGUCUAAGUAUAAGCAUACGUGCUGCGAAUGGCUCAUUUCAGUUAUCGUUUAUUUGAUAGUACCUUACUACAUGGAUAACCGUGGUAAUUCUAGAGCUAAUACAUGCUAAAACCCCAACUUCGGAAGGGGUGUAUUUAUUAGAUAAAAAACCAAUGCCCUUCGGGGCUYCUUGGUGAAUCAUAAUAACUUCACGAAUCGCAUGGCCUUGCGCCGGCGAUGGUUCAUUCAAAUUUCUGCCCUAUCAACUUUCGAUGGUARGRUAKWGGCCUACCAUGGUUUCAACGGGUAACGGGGAAUUAGGGUUCGACUCCGGAGAGGGAGCCUGAGAAACGGCUACCACAUCCAAGGAAGGCAGCAGGCGCGCAAAUUACCCAAUCCCGACACGGGGAGGUAGUGACAAUAAAUACUGAUACAGGGCUCUUUUGGGUCUUGUAAUUGGAAUGAGUACAAUUUAAAUCCCUUAACGAGGAACAAUUGGAGGGCAAGUCUGGUGCCAGCAGCCGCGGUAAUUCCAGCUCCAAUAGCGUAUAUUAAAGUUGUUGCAGUUAAAAAGCUCGUAGUUGAACCUUGGGCCUGGCUGGCCGGUCCGCCUCACCGCGUGUACUKGUCCGGCCGGGCCUUUCCUUCUGGGGAGCCGCAUGCCCUUCACUGGGCGUGUCGGGGAACCAGGACUUUUACUUUGAAAAAAUUAGAGUGUUCAAAGCAGGCCUUUGCUCGAAUACAUUAGCAUGGAAUAAUAGAAUAGGACGUGYGGUUCUAUUUUGUUGGUUUCUAGGACCGCCGUAAUGAUUAAUAGGGAUAGUCGGGGGCAUCMGUAUUCAAUUGUCAGAGGUGAAAUUCUUGGAUUUAUUGAAGACRAACUACUGCGAAAGCAUUUGCCAAGGAUGUUUUCAUUAAUCAGUGCG
Molecule: ribosomal RNA, 914 nt
Filed under: Cercospora aff. canescens
Lineage: Eukaryota; Fungi; Ascomycota; Dothideomycetes; Mycosphaerellales; Mycosphaerellaceae
Description: SSU rRNA
Source: RNAcentral